GAACGCAUCUUGCGCUCCUUGGUAUUCUGAGGAGCAUGCCUGUUUGAGUGUCAUUAUAACCCCUCAAGCCUAGCUUGGUGUUGGGGCCUGCUGUUGCCGGCAGCCCUUAAAAUCAGUGGCGGUGCCAUCUGGCUCUAAGCGUAGUAAUACUUCUCGCUACAGGGUCCCGGUGGAUGCCUGCCAUCAACCCCUAAAUUUCUAUGGUUGACCUCGGAUCGGGUAGGGAUACCCGCUGAACUUA
This 241-nucleotide unclassified non-coding RNA is filed under the name uncultured Leohumicola. RNAcentral's name for it is "sequence contains 5.8S rRNA gene". The stretch from base 1 to 53 matches the Rfam family "5.8S ribosomal RNA", at positions 102 to 154 of the family's 154-position model. The record is from RNAcentral. Lineage: Eukaryota; Fungi; Ascomycota; Leotiomycetes.